GAUGAAGAACGUAGCGAAAUGCGAUAAGUAGUGUGAAUUGCAGAAUUCAGUGAAUCAUCGAGUCUUUGAACGCACAUUGCGCCCCCUGGUAUUCCGGGGGGCAUGCCUGUCCGAGCGUCAUUGCUACCCUCAAGCACGGCUUGUGUGUUGGGCCUCCGUCCUCCUCCCGGGGGACGGGCCCGAAAGGCAGCGGCGGCACCGCGUCCGGUCCUCGAGCGUAUGGGGCUUCGUCACCCGCUCUUGUAGGCCCGGCCGGCGCUUGCCGACACAUCAAUCUUUUUUCCAGGUUGACCUCGGAUCAGGUAGGGAUACCCGCUGAACUUAAGCAUAUCAAUAAGCGGAGGA
Molecule: unclassified non-coding RNA, 345 nt
Filed under: soil metagenome
Description: partial contains 5.8S ribosomal RNA, internal transcribed spacer 2, and large subunit ribosomal RNA
Rfam family: 5.8S ribosomal RNA (bases 1-120)
Source: RNAcentral